Molecule: long non-coding RNA, 1019 nt
Organism: Panicum virgatum (switchgrass)
Lineage: Eukaryota; Viridiplantae; Streptophyta; Magnoliopsida; Poales; Poaceae
Exons: 3
Source: RefSeq, a predicted model, not a curated record
ACUUCUGAAAGAUUUGGCUUUGAUCUAGCCCUCUGAACUUCUAUGUAGCUCCAGUUCAUUUCUUCUUAUGUUUUGCAUCACACUAUGCAGGCCCAGCUCUCUUCGUAUCCUACCACCACCAUGAUCGACGUGCGGCUGCCUCACAAUUGAUACAGUACAGUUGGUAACAUGCCACUCGUUUGACAUGCUCAAGAUGCCAUGGAUCGACAACUGAAUAUCUGACAUUAUUCAGUUCAGAGUGUUGCAGCCAACAGCUGCCCUACCAUCCCAACCUGUUUUCGGGUCAAGAGACUUAAUCAACCAAUGUGCAUUUCCAACAAAGGCAUGGUUCUGAUAAUGUUUUGAAGCAGUGUCGUGCAAGCUUCUCCUGGAUUGGCAAUCAGGUCCCUGCUUGGCCCAAAAACUUCUAAAAGGUACAAGUAGUUGUUAUUCCUUUUGUUCCACAAGCUAAAAUUGGUCUGAAUCUGGCGUACUUAAUGUGGUAUUCUUUCAUGUCUGUAGAAAUAGAGACAAACCACAAUUCGUGUGUCAGUGACACUGUACAUAGUAUUUCUCUUUCAGGCUGCAUAGCAGAGCGUUGGAAAACUUCUGCAACAAAGCAUCAGAACUUCAGAAAAGAAUUAUCUCGUUUCUGCAACUGUCCAUGAAUUUGAUUCCACCUUGCUUUGAAAAUAGAAUCAUCUCGUUUCUGGCUUUCUGCGACUGUCCAUGAAUUUGAUUCCUCCAUUUGUCUUUCAGCCUGCAUAGCUAUCUCUAGAAAGCUUGUGCAAGAAUGCAUCAGAAGAUUUCAAGCCUUUGCUCCAGUGGUAUAUAUAAAUGGACGUCAUUAUCUGAAUCUCACCACACAAAAUGCGCAACAGAAAGAACACCUCAAGUCCCAGUUUCUGAAGGAACAAUCACUGAGACAGGCAACGGCACUGAGACAACAAUGGCGCCGCGACACACGGCGGGAACAGAACGAAAACAAUCACUGACAACACAACAUCACCGAAACAGAAGGAAGAUCCCUGACAAGCCAA